Molecule: transfer RNA, 82 nt
Filed under: Echinostoma caproni
Lineage: Eukaryota; Metazoa; Platyhelminthes; Trematoda; Plagiorchiida; Echinostomatidae
Rfam family: tRNA
About the family: Transfer RNA (tRNA) molecules are approximately 80 nucleotides in length. Their secondary structure includes four short double-helical elements and three loops (D, anti-codon, and T loops). Further hydrogen bonds mediate the characteristic L-shaped molecular structure. tRNAs have two regions of fundamental functional importance: the anti-codon, which is responsible for specific mRNA codon recognition, and the 3' end, to which the tRNAs corresponding amino acid is attached (by aminoacyl-tRNA synthetases). tRNAs cope with the degeneracy of the genetic code in two manners: having more than one tRNA (with a specific anti-codon) for a particular amino acid; and 'wobble' base-pairing, i.e. permitting non-standard base-pairing at the 3rd anti-codon position.
Source: Rfam by way of RNAcentral
GGUCUUGUAGUUCAGCUGUUAGAGCAUACGUGGACAAAUCCUAGUUGGCGUCCAUGCGUCGGUUCGAAUCCUACCGAGGCUA